GGUGAAGAUAACUUUAGGUGGCUCUGAGUGUCUCACUGACACCAUCACUGCAGCAUGCUGACC
This is a small nucleolar RNA of Oryctolagus cuniculus (rabbit), 63 nucleotides long. The record is from Ensembl. NCBI's taxonomy places the organism in Eukaryota, Metazoa, Chordata, Mammalia, Lagomorpha, Leporidae.